Molecule: ribosomal RNA, 226 nt
Filed under: uncultured bacterium
Lineage: Bacteria
Description: partial 16S ribosomal RNA
Rfam family: Bacterial small subunit ribosomal RNA
Source: RNAcentral
GCGUUAUCCGGAUUCACUGGGUUUAAAGGGUGCGUAGGUGGGGAUGUAAGUCAGUCGUGAAAUCUCCAUGCUUAACAUGGAAACUGCCAUUGAUACUAUGUUUCUUGAAUUUUCCGGAGGUUAGCGGAAUAUGUCAUGUAGCGGUGAAAUGCUUAGAUAUGACAUAGAACACCAAUUGCGAAGGCAGCUAACUACAGGGAUAUUGACACUGAGGCACGAAAGCGUG